RNAcentral lists this ribosomal RNA (380 nucleotides) under uncultured cyanobacterium. Its description in RNAcentral is "bacterial SSU rRNA". It matches the Rfam family "Bacterial small subunit ribosomal RNA", at positions 376 to 770 of the family's 1533-position model. Lineage: Bacteria; Bacillati; Cyanobacteriota. The record is from RNAcentral.
CGAAAGCCUGACGGAGCAAGACCGCGUGGGGGAGGAAGGCUCUAGGGUUGUAAACCCCUUUUCUUUGGGAAGAACAAAAUGACGGUACCAAAGGAAUCAGCCUCGGCUAACUCCGUGCCAGCAGCCGCGGUAAGACGGAGGAUGCAAGCGUUAUCCGGAAUUAUUGGGCGUAAAGCGUCCGUAGGCGGUUUAUCAAGUCUGUCGUUAAAGACUGCAGCUCAACUGUGGAAGAGCGGUGGAAACUGAUUGACUAGAGUGUGGUAGGGGUAGAGGGAAUUCCCAGUGUAGCGGUGAAAUGCGUAGAUAUUGGGAAGAACACCAGUGGCGAAGGCGCUCCACUGGGCCACAACUGACGCUGAGGGACGAAAGCUAGGGGAGCG